GCUUUACAUGCAGUCGAACGGCAGCGCGAGAGAGCUUGCUCUCUUGGCGGCGAGUGGCGGACGGGUGAGUAAUAUAUCGGAACGUGCCCAGUAGCGGGGGAUAACUACUCGAAAGAGUGGCUAAUACCGCAUACGCCCUACGGGGGAAAGGGGGGGAUCGCAAGACCUCUCACUAUUGGAGCGGCCGAUAUCGGAUUAGCUAGUUGGUGGGGUAAAGGCUCACCAAGGCAACGAUCCGUAGCUGGUUUGAGAGGACGACCAGCCACACUGGGACUGAGACACGGCCCAGACUCCUACGGGAGGCAGCAGUGGGGAAUUUUGGACAAUGGGGGAAACCCUGAUCCAGCCAUCCCGCGUGUAUGAUGAAGGCCUUCGGGUUCUAAAGUACUUUUGGCAGAGAAGAAAAGGUAUCCCCUAAUACGGGAUACUGCUGACGGUAUCUGCAGAAUAAGCACCGGCUAACUACGUGCCAGCAGCCGCGGUAAUACGUAUGGUGCAAGCGUUAAUCGGAAUUACUGGGCGUAAAGCGUGUGUAGGCGGUUCGGAAAGAAAGAUGUGAAAUCCCAGGGCUCAACCUUGGAACUGCAUUUUUAACUGCCGAGCUAGAGUAUGUCAGAGGGGGGUAGAAUUCCACGUGUAGCAGUGAAAUGCGUAGAUAUGUGGAGGAAUACCGAUGGCGAAUGCAGCCCCCUGGGAUAAUACUG
This 704-nucleotide ribosomal RNA is filed under the name Alcaligenes faecalis subsp. faecalis. Its description in RNAcentral is "bacterial SSU rRNA". It matches the Rfam family "Bacterial small subunit ribosomal RNA", at positions 46 to 742 of the family's 1533-position model. Lineage: Bacteria; Pseudomonadati; Pseudomonadota; Betaproteobacteria; Burkholderiales; Alcaligenaceae. The record is from RNAcentral.